RNAcentral lists this ribosomal RNA (868 nucleotides) under uncultured bacterium. Its description in RNAcentral is "bacterial SSU rRNA". It matches the Rfam family "Bacterial small subunit ribosomal RNA", at positions 1 to 891 of the family's 1533-position model. The record is from RNAcentral.
GGCUUAGAGUUUGAUCAUGGCUCAGGACGAACGCUGGCGGCGUGCUUUAUACAUGCAAGUCGAACGAGAAUCCGGACUUCGGUCUGGAGGAAAGUGGCGGACGGGUGAGUAAAAUGUAGAGAAUCUGCCCUUGAGCGGGGGACAACAGCUGGAAACGGUUGCUAAUACCCCAUAUGAGGUUAUUUGAAAUAGUAAUCUUGAAAACUCCGGUGCUCAAGGAUGAGUCUGCAUCUGAUUAGCUAGUUGGUGGUGUAAUGGACUACCAAGGCGAUGAUCAGUAGCUGGUUUGAGAGGAUGAUCAGCCACAAUGGGACUGAGACACGGCCCAUACUCCUACGGGAGGCAGCAGUAGGGAAUUUUGCGCAAUGGGGGAAACCCUGACGCAGCAACGCCGCGUGAUCGAUGAAGCCCUUCGGGGUGUAAAGAUCUGUCAGUGGGGACGAAACCUGACGGUACCCACAGAGGAAGCACCGGCUAACUCCGUGCCAGCAGCCGCGGUAAUACGGGGGGUGCAAGCGUUGUCCGGAAUCAUUGGGCGUAAAGAGUUCGUAGGUGGUAUGUUAAGUCUGGUGUUAAAGGCAGAAGCUCAACUUCUGUAGGGCACUGGAUACUGGCAAACUAGAAUGCGGUAGAGGUAAAGGGAAUUCCUGGUGUAGCGGUGAAAUGCGUAGAUAUCACGAGGAACAUCGGUGGCGUAAGCGCUUUACUGGGCCGUAAUUGACACUGAGGAACGAAAGCCGGGGUAGCAAAUGGGAUUAGAUACCCCAGUAGUCCCGGCCGUAAACGAUGGAUACUAGUGUUGCGGGUAUCGACCCCUGCAGUGCCGUAGCCAACGCGAUAGUAUCCCGCCUGGGGAGUACGCACGCAA